AUGGCGGCAAUGGAGGCCGCCGCCGACGCGAUGCUCGCCGCCGCCAGCCGCGCCUUCUGCAGCUCCGUCGCGGUCUUCUUCCAGAUCCAGGGGUGCUGUAUCUGCUUACUACUUGCUUUUGGUUGGUCUGUUGCUUCACUGGUCAGAAAAAAGGAAAUUCGCAAGAUGAGGCGCAAAAUGGCAUCUGGACAUAGUUUUGCAUUUCUUUGUGAUGACGUAGAUGAGCUUGAGCACUCUGUCCAGCAGAAAUUACCUAUGGUCUCUGUAGUCAUGCCUUUGAAGGGAUUUGGGGAACACAAUUUGCAAAACUGGAGAACCCAGAUUACUUCUCUUUAUGGGGGGCCAUUGGAAUUCUUGUUCGUAGUAGAAAGCAAAGACGAUCCAGCUUAUCGUGCCGUCUCCCGUUUGAUUGUAGAGUACAAGGACAAAUUGGACGCAAAGGUGGUUGUAGCUGGGUUUUCAACAACGUGUAGCCAGAAAAUUCAUAAUCAGUUAAUUGGUGUUGAAAAGAUGCACAAGGACAGCAAAUAUGUUCUAUUUCUAGACGAUGAUGUCAGACUGCAUCCUGGGACAGUCGGAGCUCUCACAAAAGAAAUGGAGAAGAACCCUGAGAUAUUUAUCCAAACGGGAUACCCCCUUGACUUACCUUCUGGCAGCUUGGGAAGCUAUUGCAUAUAUGAAUAUCACAUGCCCUGUUCGAUUGGAUUUGCAACUGGUGGGAGGACUUUCUUUUUGUGGGGUGGCUGUAUGAUGAUGCAUGCUGAUGAUUUCCGGCAAGACCUGUAUGGUUUAGUCACUGCACUAAAAAAUGGUGGUUACUCAGAUGAUAUGACCCUGGCUGCAAUUGCUGGGCAACAUAAAAGGCUCAUAACUUCACCACCGGUUGCUGUGUUUCCACAUCCUCUUGCAAGUGAUCUCAGCUUCUCCAGAUACUGGAAUUAUCUGAGGAAGCAAACUUUUGUUCUUGAAUCAUAUGUAUCAAAGGUCAACUGGAUAAUGAACCGUGCACUAUUUGGUGUGCAUUUCUAUUUGUCAUGGGGAUUUGUUUGUCCCUAUGUUAUGGCUUUGGUACAUAUUGCGACUACUCUUAGAGCACCAUACAGCACAAUUGUAAAGGAAGCAGCUGGCUCAUCUUGUGGUCUGAAACUAGUGAGCUUCUUGUUAAUAUGCACUCUCACUGAACUUGUUUCAAUGUGGAAUUUGACGAGAGUUGAGAUUCAACUCUGCAACAUGUUGUCUCCAGAAGGUCCACAAGACUCCCUUCGUUCAUAUAACUGGGGGCUUGUGUUCGUCGCCGUGUUAGUAGAUAAUUUCCUCUACCCGAUAUCUGCCAUCCGGUCUCACUUCUCCCAAUCAAUCAAUUGGUCUGGUAUCAGGUACUACCUGAGAGAUGGGAAAAUAAGCAAGAUUGAAAGGGAGAACAGUUUGAAGUACACUGAUCUCGGCGGGAAGCAUCUGUAUGGCAAGAAGACAUACCCUGCUGGAAAGUCGUUGCUCGGUUACCUGUCCAUAAGCCUAGCGCAAUGGCACCAGCCCAAGAAGUACGAUGUCUAA
Molecule: ribosomal RNA, 1554 nt
Filed under: Triticum aestivum (bread wheat)
Lineage: Eukaryota; Viridiplantae; Streptophyta; Magnoliopsida; Poales; Poaceae
Description: partial small subunit ribosomal RNA
Source: RNAcentral